RNAcentral lists this transfer RNA (73 nucleotides) under Neotoma lepida (desert woodrat). It matches the Rfam family "tRNA". From Rfam's summary of the family: Transfer RNA (tRNA) molecules are approximately 80 nucleotides in length. Their secondary structure includes four short double-helical elements and three loops (D, anti-codon, and T loops). The record is from Rfam by way of RNAcentral. Lineage: Eukaryota; Metazoa; Chordata; Mammalia; Rodentia; Cricetidae.
GUCCAGCUAGUUCAGUCGGUAGAGCAUGAAACUCUUAAUCUCACAGUCAUAGGUUCAAGCCCCACGUUGGGCA